This 712-nucleotide ribosomal RNA is filed under the name uncultured Actinomycetes bacterium. RNAcentral describes it as "bacterial SSU rRNA". It matches the Rfam family "Bacterial small subunit ribosomal RNA", at positions 70 to 795 of the family's 1533-position model. Lineage: Bacteria; Bacillati; Actinomycetota; Actinomycetes. The record is from RNAcentral.
GUAGUUUACUACAGAAAAUGACUGAGCGGCGAACGGGUGAGUAACGCGUGAGCAAUCUACCUUAGUUACAGGGAUAGCCCGAGGAAACUCGGAUUAAUACCUGAUAUUCUUUUUAUCUCGCAUGAGAUUUUAAGGAAAGGUCAGCCGAACUAAGAUGAGCUCGCGUUCUAUCAGCUAGUUGGUGAGGUAAUAGCUCACCAAGGCUACGACGGAUAGCUGGUCUGAGAGGACGAUCAGCCACACUGGGACUGAGACACGGCCCAGACUCCUACGGGAGGCUGCAGCAGGGAAUAUUGCGCAAUGAGCGAAAGCUCGACGCAGCGACACCGCGUAUGGGAUGACGGAUCUAGGUUUGUAAACCACUUUCAGGAGGGAAGAAAAUGACGGUACCUCCACAAGAAGCCCCGGCCAACUACGUGCCAGCAGCCGCGGUAAUACGUAGGGGGCGAGCGUUGUCCGGAUUUAUUGGGCGUAAAGAGCUCGUAGGCGGUUCAACAAGUCGGUCGUGAAAGUUCAGGGCUCAACCCUGAAAUGUCGAUCGAUACUGUUGUGACUAGGAUACGGUAGAGGUGAGUGGAAUUCCGAGUGUAGCGGUGAAAUGCGUAGAUAUUCGGAGGAACACCAAUUGCGAAGGCAGCUCACUGGGCCGCUAUCGACGCUGAGGAGCGAAAGCUAGGGGAGCAAACAGGAUUAGAUACCCUGGUAGAAGGGC